UACGUAGGUCCCGAGCGUUGUCCGGAUUUAUUGGGCGUAAAGCGAGCGUAGGCGGGUUGUUAAGUCAGUCGUAAAAGUUUGCGGCUCAACCGUAAAAUUGCAGUUGAUACUGGCAUCCUUGAGUACAGUAGAGGUAGGCGGAAUUCGUGGUGUAGCGGUGAAAUGCUUAGAUAUCACGAAGAACUCCGAUUGCGAAGGCAGCCUGCUGGACUGUAACUGACGCUGAUGCUCGAAAGUGUGGGUAUCAAACAGG
RNAcentral lists this ribosomal RNA (253 nucleotides) under uncultured bacterium. RNAcentral's name for it is "partial 16S ribosomal RNA". It matches the Rfam family "Bacterial small subunit ribosomal RNA", at positions 524 to 776 of the family's 1533-position model. The record is from RNAcentral.